GACGAACGCUGGCGGCGUGCCUAAUACAUGCAAGUUGAGCGCUGAAGGCUGGUACUUGUACCAACUGGAUGAGCAGCGAACGGGUGAGUAACGCGUGGGGAAUCUGCCUUUGAGCGGGGGACAACAUUUGGAAACGAAUGCUAAUACCGCAUAAAAACUUUAAACACAAGUUUUAAGUUUGAAAGAUGCAAUUGCAUCACUCAAAGAUGAUCCCGCGUUGUAUUAGCUAGUUGGUGAGGUAAAGGCUCACCAAGGCGAUGAUACAUAGCCGACCUGAGAGGGUGAUCGGCCACAUUGGGACGGAGACACGGCACAAACGCCCACGGGAGGCAGCAGUAGGGAAUCGUCGGCAAUGGACGGAAGUCUGACCGAGCAACGCCGCAGGAGUGAGGAGGGUUGUCGGAUCGUAAAACUCUGUUGGUAGAGAAGAACGUUGGUGAGAGUGGAAAGCUCAUCAAGUGACGGUAACUACCCAGAAAGGGACGGCUAACUACGUG
This 497-nucleotide ribosomal RNA is filed under the name uncultured bacterium. RNAcentral's name for it is "partial 16S ribosomal RNA". It matches the Rfam family "Bacterial small subunit ribosomal RNA", at positions 28 to 507 of the family's 1533-position model. The record is from RNAcentral.